Molecule: non-coding RNA, 40 nt
Filed under: Schistosoma haematobium
Lineage: Eukaryota; Metazoa; Platyhelminthes; Trematoda; Strigeidida; Schistosomatidae
Source: RNAcentral
UUGCCGAGGAGUCCCACAAUAGGACGAAACGGCCGUCCAG